RNAcentral lists this small RNA (847 nucleotides) under Fructilactobacillus sanfranciscensis. RNAcentral's name for it is "bacterial LSU rRNA". The stretch from base 337 to 847 matches the Rfam family "Bacterial large subunit ribosomal RNA", at positions 1 to 508 of the family's 2925-position model. The record is from RNAcentral. Lineage: Bacteria; Bacillati; Bacillota; Bacilli; Lactobacillales; Lactobacillaceae.
AACUAGCUGGUUUAGAGCGCACGCCUGAUAAGCGUGAGGUCGGUGGUUCGAGUCCACUUAGGCCCAUACCGAAAGGUCGGUUUUGAAUAUUAUGGGGAAUUAGCUCAGCUGGGAGAGCACCUGCUUUGCAAGCAGGGGGUCAGCGGUUCGAUCCCGCUAUUCUCCAUUGACACGUAAGUGUCAUUCUUGUUCUUUGAAAACUAGAUAAUAUUAUUUUCUGUAAUAAUUAUAUUUUUAUAUAUAAUUGAACCGAGAAAUAACCAUUGUGUUAUUUUUGAGUUUUUUAAUUAGUUUUAAUCGCUAAAACUCAAAUAAUUUAUAAUCCGUAGGAUUAUAGGUUAAGUUAAUAAGGGCGCAUGGUGAAUGCCUUGGUACUAGGAGCCGAUGAAGGACGCAACUAACUGCGAUAAGCUUCGGGGAGCUGUACGUAAGCUUUGAUCCGGAGAUUUCCGAAUGAGGAAACUCGACCAGUGUUAUGACUGGUCACUGCAUAGUGAAUACAUAGCUAUGCAGAGGCAGACGUGGGGAACUGAAACAUCUAAGUACCCACAGGAAUAUAAAGAAAUUUCGAUUCCCUAAGUAGCGGCGAGCGAACGGGGAACAGCCCAAACCGAACCCUUGUGGUUCGGGGUUGUAGGACUGAACAUUUGAGUUACAAAAGUAUUUGAUAGUUGAAGUAGUUGGGAAGCUACACCAAAGAGAGUGAUAGUCUCGUAAACGAAAUCGAAUACCCUCAGUUCAGGAUCCUGAGUACGGCGACACACGUGAAACGUCGUCGGAAUCUGGGAGGACCAUCUCCCAAGGCUAAAUACUCCCUAGUGACCGAUAGUGAACCAGUACGGGGGGG